GACUCCACCUGAGGCUCUAGCCACUACUCCGGCUCUCUCUACAGCUUCUCUGCCUCUCAGGUACUCACUGUCGACUCCAACUGACUACAUCUAUUCCCUUAAGACCAUUAGGCCCCUUUGUAGACUAGAAAACUCAAUUUGAGUCGAAAUUUUGCUUAAAAAAAGGACUUGUGAACCUUUCUAUCCAUUAGAUCUUGACCACAGGCCUUCCUAGCCAUCAGAUCGUGCUCCUACCCACAAAAUCAAGCCUGAUCACACCC
Molecule: long non-coding RNA, 260 nt
Filed under: Elaeis guineensis (African oil palm)
Lineage: Eukaryota; Viridiplantae; Streptophyta; Magnoliopsida; Arecales; Arecaceae
Description: long non-coding RNA (EGUI_LNC050303)
Source: RNAcentral